CGAUGAGUGCUAAGUGUUGGAGGGUUUCCGCCCUUCAGUGCUGCAGCUAACGCAUUAAGCACUCCGCCUGGGGAGUACGACCGCAAGGUUGAAACUCAAAGGAAUUGACGGGGGCCCGCACAAGCGGUGGAGCAUGUGGUUUAAUUCGAAGCAACGCGAAGAACCUUACCAGGUCUUGACAUCCUUUGACCACUCUAGAGAUAGAGCUUCCCCUUCGGGGGCAAAGUGACAGGUGGUGCAUGGUUGUCGUCAGCUCGUGUCGUGAGAUGUUGGGUUAAGUCCCGCAACGAGCGCAACCCUUAUUGUUAGUUGCCAUCAUUCAGUUGGGCACUCUAGCAAGACUGCCGGUGACAAACCGGAGGAAGGUGGGGAUGACGUCAAAUCAUCAUGCCCCUUAUGACCUGGGCUACACACGUGCUACAAUGGGAAGUACAACGAGUUGCGAAGUCGCGAGGCUAAGCUAAUCUCUUAAAGCUUCUCUCAGUUCGGAUUGCAGGCUGCAACUCGCCUGCAUGAAGCCGGAAUCGCUAGUAAUCGCGGAUCAGCACGCCGCGGUGAAUACGUUCCCGGGCCUUGUACACACCGCCCGUCACACCACGAGAGUUUAUAACACCCGAAGUCGGUGAGGUAACCUUUUUGGAGCCAGCCGCCUAAGGUGGGAUAGAUGA
RNAcentral lists this ribosomal RNA (668 nucleotides) under uncultured bacterium. Its description in RNAcentral is "bacterial SSU rRNA". It matches the Rfam family "Bacterial small subunit ribosomal RNA", at positions 807 to 1474 of the family's 1533-position model. The record is from RNAcentral.